RNAcentral lists this non-coding RNA (21 nucleotides) under Arabidopsis thaliana (thale cress). The record is from RNAcentral. Lineage: Eukaryota; Viridiplantae; Streptophyta; Magnoliopsida; Brassicales; Brassicaceae.
AGACGCACGAUUUCUGCCGCC